RNAcentral lists this unclassified non-coding RNA (5514 nucleotides) under Homalodisca vitripennis (glassy-winged sharpshooter). RNAcentral's name for it is "histone-lysine N-methyltransferase SETD1B, transcript variant X2". The record is from RNAcentral. Lineage: Eukaryota; Metazoa; Arthropoda; Insecta; Hemiptera; Cicadellidae.
UACAGAAUACAGGUGACAAUAAAACAGAUGAUAUGAACAAACUAACUAGACUUCCUUUAGUGUUUGUAUUUCUAUAAAAUAUUUAAUAAAUAUUGAAAAUAAUAGAGACUUUUGUAAAAAAAAUGUGUUUACGAGAAGACUUCUUCCCUAAUAUUGUGUUUUGGUUGUUGAUUCACGCAGUUGUUCCAGGCUCCCGUCAUGAAAACACAUACAAAUAAUGGAGCAAUGAAGAUUAUAACUUUAUUUAGAUCUUCUAUAGGAAAAUAGUCAUGAAUGGGACGACGAUGGAACAACAACACCAUCAUCAUCAUCACCAUCACCAAAGCAAACACAGAAGUCACCAUGGACACCAUGGUAGUCACCACCACCAUCAUCAUCAUUCAUCCUCCUCAUCAUCAACUUCAUCUCAUCACCACCAUACCAAACCAAGGAAUUACAAAAUGUUAGUCGAUCCCUUUUUGGUGAAAGGAUCAACAAAAUUGUAUAGAUAUGAUGGGACAAUACCUAAUGAUCCGACCUACCCACCAGUACAAGUGCGAGAUCCAAGAUCGCAGCUUACACGAAUAUGGACAAGGCUUGAACCUUUAGAUCUUCCUGUUCCACGUUUUAAGAUUGAUGGAAACUAUGUUGGUGAGCCCCCACCACUAGAAGUUACUAUUUUUAACUUGAAUGACAACAUCGACAAAUCUUUCUUAGCUGAAAAGGUUCAAAAAGCUGGGACAGUGGAGGACUUGUAUAUCUAUUAUCACCCAUUGACUAAUAAACAUCUUGGUCUGGCUCAUAUUGUAUUUGAGGAUAUCAAAUCUGCGCGUGCCUGCAUUGAUCGCCUCAACAACACCUCAGUAAUGGGGAAGCUGCUCAAAGUCUUUCUGGACCCGUUUGGAGAAGAAUGUCAGAAAAAAUUUACUGAAAUGACAACAGAAAAGAAAAUAGAAAAAGAAACAACAUCUAAUACAGAGAUAAAAUCUGAAGAUAAUAGUUCAAAAUCAAAAACAAGCAAAGAUAGGGAAGACAAUCCAAAAACAAAGCAGACAUCUACAGCAAAUGUGAAACCACCUUCAGAUAAAGAGAAAAGUCUUGAAGAGAAAGAAGACAGACCUAGCCAAAACUCCGAUUAUAGAAACUAUAAUAGAGUCAGAGAGUUCUCGACCCCAAGUUCAGCAAGCACAGAUUCGAGUUAUGUUACAGGAUCCUCAGAAACAUCGUCGUUUUGCACAAGCAAGACAGAUAGGAGCUAUAGCACUCCGGGCUUCUCAAGUGGCACUCCAUCUCCAUUUGACACCACCUCUUUUCCUCAGUACAACCAUGUCCAACCUGCCUCUGCCAUGUCCUUCCCGAUCCCUCCCCCAGCCCCACCACUCUCUCACCUGCCACCCCCCGCUAAUCAUCUGUCACUGGCACAUUCCAGACAUCCAAUUCCAAACAUGCCUCAUACCAAUCUUCCAAUGCCAUUUCGCUUACCGACCCCACACACACUUCCUCCUCCCAACUGUCCACCUCCAAACUGUCCUCCUCCCAAUUGCCCUCCUCCCAAUUGCCCUCCUCCCAAUUGCCCUCCUCCCAAUUGCCCUCCUCCCAACUGUCCACCUCCUAGUUGUCUCCCUCCCAACCUUCCCCCACCCAACUGUCCACCACCCAACCAUCAUCCCCCACCACCACCUCCACCACCUCCCAAUCAUCAUCUUAGCGGACAUCAUGCAGUCAUGAACCAUCCAAGACCGCAUUGGAACAAUUGGUCGGAUGGAGUAGGCAGACCUGCAAUGCCAUCUCUCCAGAACCACAGAUGGGAUUCUCCUGACAAAUCAAUGCCCCUUCAUCAGAGUAUGGUAGGACUCCCUUUGCCCAAGACAACUCCUACGUGGGCACCUGUCACUAUGAGCCAACAUCAUCUAGAACAAAAAGCACCUGCUAGUAAUCCUCAACAACUCAGUCCAUGUUUACCUCCAGGUGUUCCGGGCCAGAGUUCACAGAAUCUAGAUCUCGAUACAAGAAUAGAAAUGCUACUAAAAGACAGAACUACUGGAGGCAUGAAUCCACCGUUUUUGAGAAUAAUGAGUGAUUCAGGAGGAUCUGAUGACGAAUCAAGAAAAUCACCAUCGAAAAGAAAAAGAAAGCUAGAUGAUGAAAGAGUCGGUGUGAAACGGCUGUGUGGGGGAGAUCCACUAUACUCUAGUGAUAAUGCUCCAACUCAGCCUAAAGAAAAAGUGGCAAUAGAAUCUGUCGAAGUACCAAGAUCUCCUCUAUCACAACCACCAUCGCCGUUUAUUUCAGAAGAAGUGUACUUACAUUGGUACAGAAAAGGCAUAGAACAAACAAGACAAGCGAAGAUUCAAGAGAUAGGACUUCUGUCAAAUGUUGCUAAAGUUUUAACAAAAGAUGACUUAAUACAUAGUGAAAUAAGUUCGAGUGAGGAUGAAAUUCUGACCAGAAAAAGCCCCUCACCCAAUAAGAACUGGCAAGAAGAUAAUGUAGACCACAAAUCAACACCAUUACAAGAUGAGAUGGAUGACAGGAUGAGUCUGUCUAGUUUAAGCUCUGGAGACGAGAAGAUUGAGUCUCUGCCAACUCCUUACCAACAGCACCAUCCACCUCUGAGUACCCAUCUCCCUACCACCCACCAAUUACUCCCACCAUUACAUCCCGUCCACCGACCUCCUCCACCCAUGCCUCCCAUGUCGACCCCUCCUCCUAGAAUGUUUCCCAACGUUCCUCCACCUCCCAUACCAAACACGCCAUACCCUCCGUACCACACCAACAACUUCCAUCCUUCUCAUUACCCCCAAAUGCAGGGUCACCACCAGCAGCACCCUCCUUACCAACCUCCGAACUACAACCAGCACCCUGCACAAUUCUGGCAGAGGCCCCCUAUGCAUUCCGGGAAUAUGUAUCCUAUGUACAAUAUGCCGCCGUACCCGCAGUUCCAUGGGCGGUCUGUUCCUGUAAAUAGGCCACAAUAUCCAAUGAGGCCACUGAAUGCAGUUGUACCAAAUCCAAAUAACUUCCAAAACAUUCCACCAGGAGUACCACGACCUCCAGUCGUUCGUCUACCGCCUCCUUCCAAUCCUCUCAUGCCUCUAAUCAAGGAUGUUGUGAAUGGAAUAAUAAAGGAAUUGAAACAAAUUUUGAAGAGGGACUUCAACAGAAAAAUGGUGGAGAACACUGCCUUCAAAUCUUUUGAGCAUUGGUGGGAUGAACAGAAGUUAUUGGAGCAGGAGGAGAAGAGUACAGCAGGUCUCAAUAACGAGCUCUCGUCAACUCCCACCUCAUCUAAGGUUGAGAACACUGAGUCACCGAUUAGCAAGAGCUGUUUCCUAAGUACAUUUCUCGAUCACAAUAGAGAUGUUGAGUCUUACAAUUCGUUUGGACUCGGUUUCCGUGCCAUCAUGCCUAAAAUGCCAUCUUUUAGGAAAAAGAUACCUGAGCCCAUCCCACAGGAAGAAUCAAGAGACGAUGAGGAACAAGACAGAGUAGUAGUCGAAGAGGAAGACGAUGAAGAAGAAGAAGAACCCACAUCUCAGGUGGACUCGGGGAUCUCCUCUCAAGAGACAAUCAAAGGCCAGAGCCAAGAGGAUGGCCAGGACGAGGACUCCAGCAGUGAAUCGGACUCAUCGGACAGCUCCUCGGAGAGUUCUUCAUCCAGUGAUGGUAGUGAUACGAAGGACAGAGAACUAUGUGAAGACCUCACCAAGCUGAAGCAGAAGACUAAAAAGGAAAAAGAGGCCCUGGACUAUCUAGACAUUGAAGACAUUGAAAGACUUACUUUGCUUAAAACACCAGAUGAGGAGAUUACACCAGCUCCAUCUGAAAAUGCCAGUUGGAGUUCAGAAACACCUGAUAUUGAGACUCUGGAAGAACAAGGUGUAGAAGUGGUAAGUGCCAAAGAAGAUCAGGCAGAAGUGCAGCUUGAAAAGGAAAAGGAAGAAGUUCUGUCAUUACCAAAGACACCAACAAUUGUGUUGGAAAGCGGAAGUGAAGAUGAAACUGAUUUGGCCAGUAGGAAGGAAAACUUGAGCCCAGAAAAACUUGUUUCCGCCUCUUCUUCUCAAGAGUCACAACUCUCCCCACCACAGCUCUCUCCUCCUCAUAUUUUUGAGCCUGUGAAACCCGUGGUACAGAAGGAACACGCCCGGCCCAAGGUGAAUGGUGCAUUACCACAGGCGGUGCGAGAGAUCUUCGAGUGGCAGAACAAACGCGAAAGCGACAGGGACUCGGAUUCUCCACAUCCCCCUCAGAUAGCUAGAGAGCAUUCUUACUGCCUGCCCGUCCUAGCUCAUCAGACUGACAUCAACCACGAUCAUGGCAGUUACAGCUCUCGCACUGCCGGGAAGGGCCGCAAGAUGCCCUGGGAAGAGCCUCCUAUAGUCAUCAAAAAGCGCAAAAUCACCCCACCUCCACCUUGCAGUGUACCGAAAAUGUACAGCAAGAGAGAUCUGAUGCAGGAAAUGCAUGUCCUGUACGAGUUCCUCACAAAAGGCAUAGAUGACGAGGACGUAGCCUACAUGGCUCAAAGCUAUCAAACUCUGUUGACGGAUGAUGAUGUCAACUAUUGGCUCAACGAUACCCACUGGGUAGACCAUCCUGUAACAGACCUCUCCUCGUAUGUGCCCAAGAAGAAACGGGAUGACUGGCAUGUUCACAAGACUGGCUGUGCUCGGAGUGAGGGGUACUACAAGAUUGACAGGAUUCAGAAAGCUAAGCAUAAGCACCACUUUGGUCAGACGCUAGAGACAAAGGAGGCUGCCCCUGAGAAGCCAGACCCUAUCUGUCCCAAGCCACACAUGGGCAAGAUGCUUUCAAUCUCUCGAGAGGCAAGAAGCAAUCAGCGGCGCUUACUCACAGCGUUUGGUACAGUCACCGACAGUGACUUGCUCAAAUUCAAUGGUCUCAAGUUCCGAAAGAAGCAACUGAAAUUUGCAAAAUCCGCAAUACACGACUGGGGCCUGUUUGCAAUGGAGCCGAUCGCUGCUGACGAGAUGGUUAUAGAGUAUGUGGGGCAAAUGAUUCGCCCGUUAGUGGCUGACUUGCGGGAGAAGCAGUACGAGGCCACCGGUAUUGGGUCAUCUUAUCUGUUCAGGAUAGACUUGGAAGCCAUCAUCGAUGCCACCAAGUGCGGCAAUCUGGCUCGGUUCAUCAACCACAGCUGCAAUCCAAACUGUUAUGCAAAAAUCAUAACUAUCGAGAGUCAAAAGAAGAUUGUAAUAUACUCUAAACAACCUAUCGGUGUGAAUGAGGAAAUCACAUAUGAUUAUAAGUUUCCAAUAGAAGAUGAGAAGAUUCCCUGCCUGUGUGGAGCGCAGGGUUGCAGAGGCACUCUCAAUUGAACUCAACACAGUGAGAGGUUAAGAGAGUGUUUAUGCUCUUGUUGUUGUUUAUUUACAAUAGCAAGGUUCACUGUGAUAACCAGAAAUUCCAAGGUCAACAAACUGCUCCAUGUGCUACUUGUCAAAGGGUUCCAACAUGAAGAAGUACAAUGAUGUGAUAUCUCUACCAAUAAACUAUACCAUUGAAAAUUAA